UGGGGAAUUUUGGACAAUGGGCGAAAGCCUGAUCCAGCAAUGCCGCGUGUGUGAAGAAGGCCUUCGGGUUGUAAAGCACUUUUGUCCGGAAAGAAAUCCUUGGCUCUAAUACAGUCGGGGGAUGACGGUACCGGAAGAAUAAGCACCGGCUAACUACGUGCCAGCAGCCGCGGUAAUACGUAGGGUGCAAGCGUUAAUCGGAAUUACUGGGCGUAAAGCGUGCGCAGGCGGUUUGCUAAGACCGAUGUGAAAUCCCCGGGCUCAACCUGGGAACUGCAUUGGUGACUGGCAGGCUAGAGUAUGGCAGAGGGGGGUAGAAUUCCACGUGUAGCAGUGAAAUGCGUAGAGAUGUGGAGGAAUACCGAUGGCGAAGGCAGCCCCCUGGGCCAAUACUGACGCUCAUGCACGAAAGCGUGGGGAGCAAACAGGAUUAGAUACCCUGGUAGUCCACGCCCUAAACGAUGUCAACUAGUUGUUGGGGAUUCAUUUCCUUAGUAACGUAGCUAACGCGUGAAGUUGACCGCCUGGGGAGUACGUCGCAAGAUUAAAACUCAAAUGAAUUGACGGGGUC
RNAcentral lists this ribosomal RNA (571 nucleotides) under uncultured bacterium. RNAcentral describes it as "partial 16S ribosomal RNA". It matches the Rfam family "Bacterial small subunit ribosomal RNA", at positions 355 to 920 of the family's 1533-position model. The record is from RNAcentral.